AGCUCUGUAAAACUGCACAGAAAAACUGAAGAAAACAUUCUUGCAAAGAAACUUUAUUGUUAUGAGCUUUUAUUAAAAGCCACACUCUGGUUUUUAACCAGGUUUUCCGAAGGAAAAAACUGGUUAUUAGAUUGGCGAAUGCGGGCGGGCUGUCUGGCUGGCGGGCUGGCGGAAUAAGCUUGUCCGGGCCAUAACUAUGUCGUUCAUUGUCAGAUUUUAAAAUCAUUUGGCACAUUUGUUCACCAUCAUUGGACGGUGUGUCGCGCGAAAUAAUUACGUCGAUAUCUCCAAGGUCAAGGUCACACUUUGAGUUCAAAGGUCAAAAAUGGCCAUAAAUGAGCUUGUCCUGGCCAUAACUAUGUCAUUCAUUGUGAGAUUUUAAAAUCAUUUGGCACAUUUGUUCACCAUCAUGGGACGGUGUGUCCCACGAAAGAAUCACGUCAAUAUCUCCAAUGUCAAGGUCGCCACGACUAAAAAUAGAUUAAAAAAAAAAAAAAAACUUACAAA
Long non-coding RNA from Dreissena polymorpha, 507 nucleotides. RefSeq lists it as uncharacterized. The transcript is spliced from 2 exons. Lineage: Eukaryota; Metazoa; Mollusca; Bivalvia; Myida; Dreissenidae. The record is from RefSeq and is a predicted model, not a curated record.